Chinchilla lanigera (long-tailed chinchilla) is the source of this 2098-nucleotide long non-coding RNA. RefSeq lists it as uncharacterized. The record is from RefSeq and is a predicted model, not a curated record. NCBI's taxonomy places the organism in Eukaryota, Metazoa, Chordata, Mammalia, Rodentia, Chinchillidae. The transcript is spliced from 2 exons.
AGGAAUGGGGCGAGUGUUCAGUGAGAAUGUGAGCUUAGCGCCAUCACCGGCCUACAGCGAGCCCUCCAUGAACAUCAGCUAUAGUCAUCAUCUCAUUCAAGCUACCAGCAGACAUCAAAUGUCUUUUAUUAUUUCUCAGAUGUAUAUUUUAACCCUUUUAAAGGGUAUGUUUCCUACAUGGUCUUGCACACAGCAGCUUGUGGAACGGAAAUACACUUUCUCUGGUGCCAUUACCAGCUGAGGUUUGCCUCAGUAAAGGGAAAAAAAAUACUCUGGACAGAUGGAGGUCAAAUUGGUCUUAGCAUGCUUCCACUCCCAGACCUCGAGGCGGAAGCCAUUCGGAUGAAAACACUGUUGUACACCAAGUUCGCUCAGCUUGAAGUUACCCUCUUCCACAGGCAAGACAGCAAGUGCUCCCUCUGAAACCCGUCAGGCUGUGCACUCCUUUAACGAGCAUGUGACCUAAGUUUUGACAAGAUGUUCGCUGAUAUUUUGCCAGCUUCUGGUAUUUUAAGAAAUACGACUGGAGCCUGGCGUGGAACCACGUGUGGAAUCCCAGCACGCAGGAGGCUGAGGCAAGAGGACCAAGGCCAGCGUGAACUACAGUGAGAUCCUGCCUCAGAAAGAAGGGGGAAGUGUGUCCAUGGGAUCCGCACGAUGUCCCUGGGGCAGCACCCUCCCUGGCCUGUUCACUGUGUAAUAUGCCACAAACUGCAUGUAAUCAGCCAUGAGGACUGAUUGGAUGUAUCCUUUGGCCACAAAACUCCACCCAUGAGCAGGCACCCACCAGUCUGGACCACUCGUCUCCUAUAUAAACCAUGGCUAUCAGCUUCUGAGGAAGAUGUCUCUUCAGAUGAGGUCCCGAUCAGCCACCUUCUGACCAGCUCACUAUGGUAAUGAAGUUCUUUCUCUGCCACUGCCUUGCCUCUUGACUGAUGUCUUUGUUGUGUGGCCAGCACAGCGAGCCUUUUGUGAGGUAACAGGAUGACCAAUUGUACUUUUCACUCCUGACACUCAUCAUUUAAACAAAUUUCAGCAUACUGAUAAAUUGGCCCCAAUCUCUCAAACCCCAGGACUUUGUGAUUUCUAAUAUAAACACCUUACAGGCUGGUAUUUGUUUAAUCAUGUAAGAACAGAUACCCUACACAUCUCCGUUAAUAACCUAUUGCCUUAUGAAGUAGGGAUAAAAGUUUUUUAAAAAAAAUCUAUGAGGACCAUAAUUUAUCCAAGAUAGUUUGAUUUGAAUGGUGUUUGAGUACCUCCAACCCUAUUAGACCCUGGAUGACAUUUAAAUAUAAGGUAAUAGUUGAGAAGAAAAUCAGGAAUUACAAAAUAUUUGUUACUGCAAGCAAUUUUAAUACAAAAGUGUGUCUUGUUUUAAACAGUUCAUUGGUAGAGCUUCAGUUUCUGCCUCAAUUAAAACCAAUUGAGAUAAUCACACAGCAACAUGGUCGGAGCUGAAGAGGAACAGCAGCUAAAAAACAGGAGCCCCAGACAGCUCCUCUGUGGUCAAUUGGUCAGUUGACUUUAUUACGCACAAAAAAGACGGAAGCGAACAGGACUGGUGAACAAGUGUGCUGGUGAGCUCCAUUAAAGGAUGAGCAAGUAUUUGUCUCAGGUCCACAUUUUCAGAAUAGGCUCGUGGAAUUCAUUCCUCAGUUUGUGGGAAGCUGAUCGACCAUUUAAAUAAAUAGCAGGUAAAAAGUGCAGAUAAACAAAUCUGUAAUCCACAGUGCCACCAAGGAGUCUCCCUCACCAAGGGUCUGGGGCCUGGUGAGCACAGGGACUACUGGUGGGGAGGCUGGAUAGUUACAAAUCGGUUUAAAAGCCCAAUGUUCUGACAUUUUCUAAACAGUUACAUUUACCCCUGAAUUCUAGUAGCUACGUGUCCGUCCACCCAGCGCUGGACAGUAUUCCAAGUCAGUAUUGCAGUCAACGCCUUUGCUGAACUGUGUGCAAAUGCUGCCUAGAUGAGGGUCCCGCUCUUCGGCUAAAAUCACACAACACUGAAACAAUGGAAACACAGUUAUGAGUGCCCUCCCCUCCGUUCUUGCUAACUGAGGCGUCUGUGAUUAUAAAAAGAGUUCCUUAAACACUG